UCCUUGUUAACUGUUUGCGCAUUUGUCUGUGUUACUGUGUCUUUGUUAACUGUCAUAACUGUUUACGUAAGGAGAGGGAGAUUUCAAAUUUAUUGCAUAUCAGAAUGGCCAACCUUUGAUGUGGGAUGGCCCUGAGAAGGAACUUUCCACCUACCUAUUAUCUUACAGGUUAAGGCCGUGAUCUUCAGGGACAAACUGAACGGCCAUCCUGACCUGGUGCCCAACAUCCUGGCCUGGCAGGACAUGAUCCAGAAUUCCCCUCCUUGGCUAAAACCCUUUUUACCCCCCAAACUGCACAACUCGGCUGAAGGAAAGAUGGAGGCACCUCAAGAAGCUGGCUUCAGGGACUGCCUUGCAUUUGGGAAGAGACAACACACCUACACGACAUUAGCAAACUGCAGAAUCAAAAGCCAAAUCUCCCAGCAUUUGGAGAACAGUGAUGGAUUGCCCAACGCUAUGACACUUACAUGGGGAAGAUGUGUCUUACUUUCCAAAGAAACUUUAGCUUGCCACCUGCUCUAUACCUUCCUUUAGGAAACUAGAACUUGUCUGUUUGGUUAAUGAUUACAGAUUCAAAGGAAUUCAUUUUUUUUAAAAUUUUUAUUUAUUUAUGAUAGUUACACACACACAGAGAGAGGCAGAGACACAGGAAGAGGGAGAAGCAGGCUCCAUGCACCGGGAGCCCGACGUGGGAUUCGAUCCCGGGUCUCCAGGAUCGCGCCCUGGGCCAAAGGUAGGCGCCAAACCGCUGCGCCACCCAGGGAUCCCCCAAAGGAAUUCAUUUUUUAAAGUGAAAUUCAUGACUCAUUGUUUGAAUUAACACUCCUCCACCCCAGCCCACCCUCUGUUUUCUAUAUUGUUAAUGUUGAUAAAGAAGUCAUCACAUCUUAUUGAUUCUGUUCUCCUGGCUUCCUCUACAUCAGGAUAUAGCACAAAUGGGAGUCGUCAACUCAUUAGAGAUAGCCACUUUAAUAGUGACCUCAUCAAUCCAGUCUGUUUCCACAUUAGAGAUGCCAUGAGAAUUUCUGCUUCAGAGACUUCAUCUUUAUAGUUUUGCCAUUGUGCAUACACCCAGGUGAGAAGAGGUUUCUAAGCUAGUGAGACAGAACUAGAGAAGUUGACAUGUUAUUAUAGAAUAAAUAGGAAAAGCUCGGGGCA
RNAcentral lists this long non-coding RNA (1158 nucleotides) under Vulpes vulpes (red fox). Its description in RNAcentral is "lncRNA (ENSVVUG00000012336.1)". The record is from RNAcentral. Lineage: Eukaryota; Metazoa; Chordata; Mammalia; Carnivora; Canidae.